UGAAGAAGAGAGAAAAAGGAAAGAGAAGAGAGGUAAGAAGAGAAUUUUAGUUGUACUUUCUUUCUUUCCCCCUCUCUCUCCCACUCUUUCCAUCCUUU
This is a non-coding RNA of Brugia malayi, 98 nucleotides long. The record is from RefSeq and is a predicted model, not a curated record. NCBI's taxonomy places the organism in Eukaryota, Metazoa, Nematoda, Chromadorea, Rhabditida, Onchocercidae.